This 253-nucleotide ribosomal RNA is filed under the name uncultured bacterium. Its description in RNAcentral is "partial 16S ribosomal RNA". It matches the Rfam family "Bacterial small subunit ribosomal RNA", at positions 524 to 776 of the family's 1533-position model. The record is from RNAcentral.
UACGUAGGGGGCGAGCGUUGUCCGGAGUUACUGGGCGUAAAGCGCACGCAGGCGGUCUGCUAAGUUUGGAGUGGCAGUUGGUGGCUUAACUGCCAAAGUGCUUCGAAAACUGACAGACUUGAGGGCUUCAGAGGGACACGGAAUUCCGGGUGGAGUGGUGAAAUGCGUAGAGAUCCGGAGGAACACCAGUGGCGAAGGCGGCUACCUGGACAAAUACUGACGCUGAGGCGCGAAAGCGUGGGGAGCAAACAGG